GGCAAGAUGGCCGAGCGGUUAAGGCGGAAGACUCAAGAUUCGUCUUACCUGUACAACAGGCAGCAUUCUUCUGGGGCAACCCGCGCGAGUUCGAAUCUCGUUCUUGUCA
This 109-nucleotide transfer RNA is filed under the name Hypoxylon rubiginosum. RNAcentral's name for it is "tRNA-Leu". It matches the Rfam family "tRNA". From Rfam's summary of the family: Transfer RNA (tRNA) molecules are approximately 80 nucleotides in length. Their secondary structure includes four short double-helical elements and three loops (D, anti-codon, and T loops). Further hydrogen bonds mediate the characteristic L-shaped molecular structure. tRNAs have two regions of fundamental functional importance: the anti-codon, which is responsible for specific mRNA codon recognition, and the 3' end, to which the tRNAs corresponding amino acid is attached (by aminoacyl-tRNA synthetases). tRNAs cope with the degeneracy of the genetic code in two manners: having more than one tRNA (with a specific anti-codon) for a particular amino acid; and 'wobble' base-pairing, i.e. permitting non-standard base-pairing at the 3rd anti-codon position. Lineage: Eukaryota; Fungi; Ascomycota; Sordariomycetes; Xylariales; Hypoxylaceae. The record is from RNAcentral.